Molecule: ribosomal RNA, 1512 nt
Filed under: Triticum aestivum (bread wheat)
Lineage: Eukaryota; Viridiplantae; Streptophyta; Magnoliopsida; Poales; Poaceae
Description: partial small subunit ribosomal RNA
Source: RNAcentral
AUGGAGGCAUACAUCUAUCUUUUAGCUCUUCUUCCACUUCUGUACAUCCUACGCUCCCUGAGAGCUUUCUUUUGCUCCGGCGACCGCGGUCUACGGCUUCCUCCUGGCCCAUGGCAGCUUCCUAUCAUCGGCAACCUCCACCAUCUUUUUGGUGCCCUCCCACACCGUGCCUUACGGGAUCUCUCUCGGCGCCAUGGGCCCCUUAUGCUCCUCAAGCUCGGUAAGGUUCCAGUGAUCGUCGCCUCCAGCGCCGAAGCUGCCAAGGAGAUCAUGAAGACGCACGACCACAUCUUCUGCACAAGGCCACUGAGCUCAACGGCCAAGGUGCUGAACGAGCAUGGCACGGGGAUCACGUUCUCCCCAUACGGUGCACACUGGCGGCAGCUCCGCAAGAUUUGCGUCCUCGAGCUGCUGAACGCCAAGCGCGUCAAAUCUUUCUGGCCCACCCGUGAGGAGGAGGUAAUCAGGUUCAUUCGAUCCAUCUCAUCUGCAUCAGAGACACAGCUAACUGUGAAUCUGAGUAACAUGCUCACCAUUUACGGGUCGGACACGACGGUGCACUCCACCUUGGGUUGCCGGUUCAAGGACCGUGACAGUGACACCUUGCUCGAUUAUGUCGCCGAGGCGGUGCGGCUGAUAGGUGGCUACACCUUAUCCGACUUGUUCCCGUCGUCGAGGCUAGCGCGCACUCUGAGCAGCACACUGCGCAGGGCUGCGGUCUUUCGAGACUCUGUGCUAUCCUUCCUGGAGCGUAUCAUAGAUGAUCAUCUCGCGAGGAGAUCCUCCAAGGAAGUUCACCAGGAAGACCUGGUCGAUGCCCUCUUGAGGAUCAAACGAGAAGGCAACCUUGCGUUCCCCCUCACCAUGAACCAUAUCAAAGCAGUGAUUUUAGAUGUUUUUGCAGGGGGGAGCGAGUCACCGAUAACAACGCUACAGUGGGCCAUGACAGAGUUGAUGCAAAACCCUAGUGUGAUGUCUAGGGCACAAGCUGAGGUCAGGGGUGCCUUCGCGGGACAAAUGAAGGUAACCGAGGAGGGUCUAGCCAAUCUAAGCUACUUGCAGUGUAUCAUCAAGGAGACGUUGAGGUUGCACGCACCUACGCCAUUACUACUGCCAAGGGAAUGCCAAGAGCAAUGUAACAUACUCGGCUAUGACGUUCCCAAGGGCGCCAUUGUUCUUGUGAAUGCUUGGGCUAUCUCAAGGGACCCUGAGUACUGGGAAGAACCGGAAGCAUUCAUCCCAGAUAGAUUUAUGGGCAGUAAGGUGAAUUACAAUGGUAUCAACUUUGAGUUCGUACCAUUCGGCGCCGGGCGGCGGAUUUGCCCCGGGGUGUUGUUUGGGGUCGCGAACAUUGAGCUCGCUCUCGCAAGCCUUUUGUUUUAUUUCGACUGGGCUCUUCCAGAUGGCAUUCUCCCCGGUGAUCUUGACAUGACGGAAACCAUGGGAAUCAGUGCUAAGAAGAAGUUGGAUCUGCGAUUGCGUGCAACUCUCCACGUACAGCUGCCGCGCUGA